AAAGAAAAAGGAAAUAAGCAUAUUCAUAAAUUGAGUAUUAAAUACGGGUCACACAUACGGCACAUGGCAAUAGAAGAGUCUUGUAGUAGUAGCUGCCUAUAUAGCGUGAACUUUCAUAGAAGGUGAAUGACAAAUGUGUGCUAUUUUCGUCAUUCGUAACGGUUCACAUCACAAAUAGUCCCCUUUUUGAUAGCCAGAUUCCAUGGAAACAAAAGUUCUGUCCAGCGGAAUCCGCCACUCUACUAUCCCUCAAAGUUAUAUCCGCCCUCAAUCCGAUAGGCCACGCCUCUCUGAAGUCGUUGAUUGCGAAAACGUUCCAGUAAUUGACAUGGGCUGUGGAGAUAGAAACCAUAUAAUUCGUCAAAUUGGCGAAGCCUGUCAUCUUUAUGGUUUUUUCCAGGUUUUUAUCAUCUCACCAAUUGUCUAAUUUUUUUUGCUACAUGUAUGGUAAUUAACGAGGAACUUUUAAACUUUAUGAUUAGGUAAUUAAUCAUGGUGUACCAACGAAUUUAGUAGAGGAAAUGCUAGAGAUAGCUCGGGAAUUUUUUAACCUUCCUGUUGAAGAGAAGUUGAAGUUGUACUCAGAUGACCCAUCCAAGACGAUGAGAUUGUCCACUAGUUUUAAUGUUAAAAAGGAGACGGUUCACAAUUGGAGAGAUUAUCUCAGACUUCAUUGUUAUCCUCUGGAAAAAUACGCUCCUGAAUGGCCUUCCAAUCCCGCCUCUUUCAGGUAAACCCUUCACCAUGUUCUCAUUGUGUUAAUCUAUAUUAGUUUCAUUAUUAUGUUAAUGGAUACAUUGCUGUCGUCUGAGUCAUUAGUUUAAUUCUUAUCAUGUCAGCCUUUUUUAUUUUGGUAUACCUCCAAGUAAAAAUAGAACAAUAUCAGUGCGUAAGGAGGUGUGGUCACGUAUCUCACAUGUUUAAACAUAUUAAAUUAAAAGUAAAAUAUUUUAAAGAGUAUAUUCUUUUUGGGCAUGUGUUAGGCACGUGUCAGGUGUUUUUCAGUUGUACAGAAAAAUCAAUAUACCUAAAAAAUUUAUAUAGUAAUAAAUUGAUUUGAUUGUGAAGAUCAGUAAUAGUAGUAAAUGAUUUCAUUCUAAUGGAAUCAUUCUGAAGACAGAGGGUCAAAUCAAUUAAAAAAAAUUAUUAAAAUUCUUUUUUUGUUGCUCUCACAAAAUUCAUGUAAUCUCCCUAACCUUCUAGAGAAGGCAUGUUCCAUGUGAAUGUCCUAACCAUUUUCAAUUUCUUUAUCUUUGCUUUUUAUUCUUUUGACAUUUUAAUGAGUAUUUAAGAAGUACCAUAGGUGUGUGCUCUAAAUUUUAAAAUAAAAUAUUAUUUUCAGCGGGAAUCGAAUGUCCAUCUUUCCCAACAAACCCACAAUCCUUACGGUUGAACCAAAACCCCUUUUGUUACUGGGUUCGGCAGUAUAUAUUUAUAUAAAUUUAAUAAAUAUUUCAAUACAAAUACAGAGUUUCGGAAAAAGUUACUGGGUUCGACCGAACCCGUACCCACCACUGUAGCUCCGCCCCUAGAAGUACCAUAUUGGGGGAAUCUGACCAAGAGGAUUACUUAAGUUAGUGAGCACCUGUAUUUCCAUCUUAUACUUUCAAAGUUCGUGUUAGGAUCGGGAACCCGGAUAGUGCGGAAUAUAACCAAACAACGGUAUAAUGACAAUAACAAAGACAAUUGAAGUUGAUAACAACGACAAUAAAAGUAGAUAAAGAAGACACAAAUUUAACGUGGUUCGGUCAAAGUGACCUACGUCCACAAGCGGAGAGGAGCAAUUUACUAUAAGAAUAAGAGUACAAAAGAGAGUACAAAAUUAGAGUAAACACUCUAAUUAAUCCCAAAUACCCUAAGAGAAUAACCUCACAAGAUCACUCCAAAGAAAGGGUUCACACAAGUGCUUCCCAACACUUAACUCUCAUACAAAACACUUUUAAUAAAGGAAGAAACAAGAAAUGAAGACUUAAGUCUUGUUGGUGUGUCUAAAAUGAACUAAUGGCCUUCCCUUUUAUAGGCAAAAAGUCUUGACCUCUUAGGUAUAAAAAAAGAGAUAUAACUUGUGCAAAUGAUGUCCAACACACAAUGUAAUAUUUUUGGGUCCCAAAAAUUAUUGCCAACAAAGUCUACACUUUGCAAAAAUGCUUAUACUUAUUUAGGUGGACUCUAUUUGACAAAAUAAUUACCAUAUUAUAGUUCGUUCGAAUCAUAUGGAGAGUAGGUGAAAAUACUCUUGAUUUCUUAAAAAUUGAAGCAAGUAAGAAAAUAAAAUCCUGACCACUUCAUUUGGAGAAGGAAAAAAAUGGAAAUCAAUAUCUAAAAUUUUGAAUGGACAAAAAGAGGGGGUAGACGAUAGAGAUAACAGAAAUAAGCAUGUGAGGCCACAUUUCAAAGAUUUAAUUGUCGUGCCUCGGAUUCAUCAACAGUCGUGCUGCCAAAUAAUAAUGUAGGAUGAACCUUUCCUCUAUAUGCCCAAAUCCAAUUUUUCUAAUCGCGACUUUCCACUUGAUUUCGUCAUGUCUAACAAAUAUGAUGACACCAUUUUUGUUGCUAUUAUUCGCCCAGUAGUUGACACGUAAACAUUGUGAACGUCACGGUUGUGAUGACGUCAGAGUUGGAUGAGGAGGUGGCGUAAGCAGACAAAGUGAUAAUGAUGCCAACUUGUGUUUUUUGUCGGGUAGUACAAUUAGGAAGCGAGGACUAUCAAAGUCUCCUUUAAUUUCAAACUUUUAGGCAAUAACAAAAAAAUUCUUCAAAAGUACUUUGUUUUUAAGGGUACAAGUAUUUUAAAUUUAUGUGAACCUAUUUGAUUGUGUAUGAAGUUAAAAAAAAAAAAAAUUAAAUUUAUGUAAAAUAAUACACAUAUAUUUUAUGUGGUUAUAGGUAAAUUAUUUUCAAAUAUAAAAAUGAAUCAUUUUUUUUAUACAAACUAAAAAAAAAAUCACAUAAAAUGAAACAGAUGUAAUAUAAGUACUUUUAAAUAUUAUAAAGUGCACUUCCUUUUUUUCAAAAAUUAAUAAUAAUAUAAAAGUAUCAUAGGGGAUAGAAAACUUGCCUUGACAAUUUCAGCCCUUUGAUUUUCGUUCUUGUACAUUUUCCCUCGCGGAAAAAAACUUGAGCGCAAAAGUGGCCUCAGGAAGGACAAGGAGGUGGACCGUUGGAGUAGCAAAAUGAGCAAUUUAUGCAAAUACUCAUUGAGCUUAAAAUAAUUAUUAUUUUUAAUUUAUUUGAAAAUUAUUUACAAUAUAUACUUACCCAAUUAAAAUUAAUUAUCCAUACCCACCCACUCAUUACUCGUUUGGCUUGGCUUAGCUUGAUUUGGCUUGACUUGGUUUGCUUUGCUUGGCUUGAUUUGGCUUUGCUUGACUUGGUUUAGUAACUUAAUUUGAGUUCAUUUGGUUGGUUUUUGACUGGGUAUUAAAAAAAAUGGGUAGGGGCAAACUAUGUAGGUCGGUAAAUAUUUUGUCCCGCCUGGGUAUUUGUUAAAGACCCGUAGGAAAAAACUGGGCUUAUAUAAAUAGGAAAUGGAGAAACAUAAGAAAAGAAAAAGAAAACAGGAUAGAAACUGAAAUAGAAAUAUAUUUAAAAGGAAAAUGAAAUAAGAUUAAUACAACAAUAUAUACCGAAUUUAAUAGCUUGGGGUUUAAUUGAAAGAUUCAACAAUAUAUACUUAUAAUUUAAGAUAUAAUUGUUUGUAGACAACAUUUCAUAGUCAUUUUUUAUACUAGCAGUGUACGCGCUUUGCGUGUGUAUCCAUAACAAUAUUAUACAACCUAAAAAAAUUGACAUUGUUACGAUUUAAUGAUGUAUAUAAGUUAUAAAAUUAAAGAAAAGAAAUAUAAAAAAAUUGACAUUGUUACGAUUUAAUGAUGUAUAUAAGUUAUAAAAUUAAAGAAAAGAAAUAUAAAAAAAUUGACAUUGUUACGAUUUAAUGAUGUAUAUAAGUUAUAAAAUUAAUGAUGCAAAAGUUAAAAAUGACUAUUGUUGAUUACUACUAUUUAUAACAUAUAACCUAAUACAUUACUGUUAAAUAUUUUUCAAAUCACAAAGAGAAAAGGAAGAGGAGUAGAGAAACGUACCUGGAAGAGUUGAUGGAUGUAUGUGGCCAGAGAGGAGGCAGAGCUCCUUUUAUAAAUCAGCAACGACGGUGUUUAAAUACUUUCAAAUGUGAUGAACCCUCUUUUAAUCCAAAUUCUCGAAUGACAGAAUCUUUUUCUAAAAGAAAAUCGAAUUGGAUGGGAAAUAAGAAAGGAAAAGUUAUUAGCCUAAAUUUUGAAAUAAGCUAUAUAUUCG
Molecule: long non-coding RNA, 4296 nt
Filed under: Nicotiana tabacum (common tobacco)
Lineage: Eukaryota; Viridiplantae; Streptophyta; Magnoliopsida; Solanales; Solanaceae
Description: long non-coding RNA (NTAB_LNC001469)
Source: RNAcentral